This 663-nucleotide ribosomal RNA is filed under the name Bacillus sp. Pd-E-(l)-m-D-10(2). RNAcentral's name for it is "bacterial SSU rRNA". It matches the Rfam family "Bacterial small subunit ribosomal RNA", at positions 199 to 848 of the family's 1533-position model. Lineage: Bacteria; Bacillati; Bacillota; Bacilli; Caryophanales; Bacillaceae. The record is from RNAcentral.
GAUGAAAGACGGUUUCGGCUGUCACUUACAGAUGGACCCGCGGCGCAUUAGCUAGUUGGUGAGGUAACGGCUCACCAAGGCGACGAUGCGUAGCCGACNUGAGAGGGUGAUCGGCCACACUGGGACUGAGACACGGCCCAGACUCCUACGGGAGGCAGCAGUAGGGAAUCUUCCGCAAUGGACGAAAGUCUGACGGAGCAACGCCGCGUGAGUGAUGAAGGUUUUCGGAUCGUAAAGCUCUGUUGUUAGGGAAGAACAAGUGCAAGAGUAACUGCUUGCACCUUGACGGUACCUAACCAGAAAGCCACGGCUAACUACGUGCCAGCAGCCGCGGUAAUACGUAGGUGGCAAGCGUUGUCCGGAAUUAUUGGGCGUAAAGGGCUCGCAGGCGGUUUCUUAAGUCUGAUGUGAAAGCCCCCGGCUCAACCGGGGAGGGUCAUUGGAAACUGGGAAACUUGAGUGCAGAAGAGGAGAGUGGAAUUCCACGUGUAGCGGUGAAAUGCGUAGAGAUGUGGAGGAACACCAGUGGCGAAGGCGACUCUCUGGUCUGUAACUGACGCUGAGGAGCGAAAGCGUGGGGAGCGAACAGGAUUAGAUACCCUGGUAGUCCACGCCGUAAACGAUGAGUGCUAAGUGUUAGGGGGAUUCCGCCCCUUAGUUUUC